Molecule: ribosomal RNA, 1412 nt
Filed under: metagenome
Description: bacterial SSU rRNA
Rfam family: Archaeal small subunit ribosomal RNA
Source: RNAcentral
UAUUAGAGUUCGACUAAGCCAUGCAUGUCAUGGGAAUCUUCGGAUGAACCGGCAAACUGCUCAGUAACACGUCGAUAAUCUGCCCUUAGGUCAGGGAUAGUCUCGGGAAACUGAGUUUAAACCCUGAUAAAAGAUGGAUUCUGGAAUAUGAUUCAUCUUCCAAAAGUAAUGCCUAUGGAUGAGUCGGCGGCGGAUUAGGUUGUUGGUGGUGUAAUGGACCACCAAGCCAAAGAUCCGUAGGGGCCUUGAGAGAGGUAGCCCCGAGAAGGACACUUAGAUACUGGUCCUAGCCCUACGGGGUGCAGCAGGCGCUAAACCUUUACAAUGCACGAAAGUGUGAUAAGGGAACUCUAAGUGCUCAUGUUCUACAUGGGCUUUUGCCAAGAGUAAAAAUCUUGGCGAAUAAGUGGUGGGCAAGACUGGUGCCAGCAGCCGCGGUAACACCAGCGCCACAAGUGGGAAUCGUAUUUAUUGGGCCUAAAGCGUCCGUAGCUGGUUGUGAAAAUCUUUUGUGAAAUCGUUGGGCUUAACUCAACGGCGUGCAGGAGACACUACACGACUUGGAACCAGGAGGAGUUAGCAGUAUGGUUGGGGGAGCGGUAAAAUGCUAUAAUCCCAAUUAGACUACCUGUGGCGAAGGCGGCUAACUAGAAUGGAUUCGACAGUGAGGGACGAAGGCCAGGGGAGCGAACCGGAUUAGAUACCCGAGUAGUCCUGGCAGUAAACUCUGCGAGUUAGGUGUUGCAUAUUCUACGCGAAUGUGCAGUAUCGGAGCGAAGGCGUUAAACUCGCCGCCUGGGAAGUACGGUCGCAAGACUGAAACUUAAAGGAAUUGGCGGGGGAGCACUACAAGGGGUGCGGCGUGCGGUUUAAUUUAACUCCACUCAGAGAAUCUCACCAGCGCGACGGCAGGAUGAAAGUCAGAUUGAAGGUUUUACUUGACGAGCCGAGAGGUGCUGCAUGGCCGCCGUCAGCUCGUGCCGUAAGGUGUCCGGUUAAGUCCGGUAACGAGCGAGACCUGUGUCUACAAUUGCUAACGGGUCCUUCAGGAUGACUGAGCACAUUGUAGAGACUGCCCUGGAAACAGGGAGGAAGGUGCAGGCUACGGUAGGUCUGUAUGGCCCGAAUCUGCUGGGCUACACGCGCGCAACAAUGGUAGAGACAAUGGGAUGCCACUCCGAAAGGAGAAGCUAAUCCUCUAAACCCUAUCUAAGUUCAGAUUGAGGACUGUAACUCGUCCUCAUGACGUCGGAAUCCCUAGUAAUUGGAUGUUAUCAGCGUCCAGUGAAUAUGUCCCUGCUCCUUGUACACACCGCCCGUCAAACCACUCGAGCAGGGUUUAGGUGAGACCUGGUCUUCUUUGAUUAGGCCGAACCUAAGCUCAGUGAGAUGGGUUAAGUCGUCACAAGGCA